This is a long non-coding RNA of Mirounga angustirostris (Northern elephant seal), 3208 nucleotides long. RefSeq lists it as uncharacterized. The transcript is spliced from 5 exons. The record is from RefSeq and is a predicted model, not a curated record. NCBI's taxonomy places the organism in Eukaryota, Metazoa, Chordata, Mammalia, Carnivora, Phocidae.
GGUGCUGCCCACCCCGCCAGGCCGGGCCAGGGGACGCUCCCGCCAGCCUCCCGGCUACUGCUCUCCUGGAGCCCAGAUGGUGUUGCCGCUUCCACACCACCCGCACCACCACCUUCUACGCAUCCCCAAAUUUCUCCUUGUCCCUGCUGCUUUGCCGACUCCACGGUCAAACCCCUCAGUGGGUGCAUGUGACUGGCUGAGCCAACUGCCAGGGAUGCUGAGAAAAUGUUGAACCAACCUUGCAGCCCAGGAAUAAAUCUCACUUGGUCGUGGUGAAUAAUCCUUUUAAUGUACUGUUGGACCCAUUGGCUAGUAUCUUGAGCACUAAGGUUGAGUCCAGACAACAAAACCGUGACUGUAAAGUGAGAAGUCACCCAGAGGUUUCCAGGCCACCAGAUGUGCAGCAUAUUUAGACAGAACAGCUGGAUAAUUUAACAACUUCCUUGUCCCCCCCCCCCCCCCACUCCCCGGAAGGUCGGCCGCCAGGGCAUCUCAGACAGCCUGUCUAUGUGAGGACAUACACGUGUAUGCGCCGGAGUAUUCCCUCCUGAGAUUCUGUGCAAAAGUCACCAUUCUCUCGAAAACCCCACGUGUAUUCUUUAAUGUGAUCAGAUUCAGAUUUCCCUCCCUACAACCUCCUUUUUCCUCCUCCUGGAUAGUCUGGCUUGGAAGCCCGGUGCUGUUUGUUGAAGUAUCCCAAAGAUCUUCCACUUACGUCCUAUGAUCUUCAUCGUGAUCUCAUGAGUGAGGUGUUUGGGACAAUGACAUAAAAAGAGGUAGCAAAGGUCUAAAGGAAGCCCUAGAGAAAGCUGGCAAGAAAACCCUCAAAGGCAGGGCACUGCGUUUCUUGGCCCGAUUUUACUGAUGACAAAACUGAUAGGCAAACUCCAGGGUCCAGAAUCUCAACAGAACUAGUGCUCAAAAUCAGAACGCUCAGCUCCCAGCAUGCAACUCACCUCCCAGCACCACAGAGCAGCAAAACUGGGCAAGACCCACAGAUGGGGCAGUGUGGUACAAUGGGCAUCGCCUCAGGCUCUUGCAUCUGGCAGACGGCCCUCAGCUCAAAUCCCUUCUCUGGGACUUAGGAGCUGCCUGGUCCUGGGCAAGCCUCUGUUUCCUCAUUUGUAGAAGGGAAAUGAUAAUAGCAUCUGCCUCAGAGGGAUGUUGUGAAGACCCAGUGAAAUAAAACAUGGGAAGUUUCUGGAUGAUAGCAAGUACUCAAAUAUAUAUAUUGCUGUUGUUCAUAUUAGAAUUAGUAUUCGUAUAAAACUGAGACCCAAGUUCACACAAACUAGUUAAUGGCAGAUCCAGACUCUGCACCCGGAUCCUGCAGCUCUCACAUCAGUGUACCUGCACCAAGAGAGUUUCCUGCUACCUUCUCCCAACCAAAAAGCACAAAAACAUUUUUUGAGCACUUUUUCUGUCCCAGGCAUGAUCACAACACCCUACACAUGUUCACUUCACUUAAUUCUCAAAACAACCCAGUGACGCACGUCCCCUUAUCAUCCCCACUUUAUUAAGAAACUGAGGCUCAGAGAACAUAAGAGACUUGCCCCAGGGGCGCCUGGGUGGCUCAGUCGGUUAAGCGGCUGCCUUCGGCUCAGGUCAUGAUCCCGGGGUCCUGGGAUCGAGCCCCGCAUCGGGCUCCCUGCUCGGCGGAGAGCCUGCUUCUCCCCUCCCUCUGUCUGCCACUCUGCCUACUUGUGCUCUCUCUCUAUCUCUGUUAAAUAAAUAAAAAUCUUAAAAAAAAAAAAAAAAGAAAGAAAGAAAAAGAAACUUGCCCCGGGACACACAGCUGGUAGGUGGCAGGGCCGGCUGGCACCAGAGUCCCCACACCGGCCCUGUUUUCUGUUUAAAUUCUUAGAGAUUUACCCCAAAUCAUGAUUACAUUUCUUUACCUUUCUCUUUCUCUCACCUUUUGCUUAUAUAUAAGUAACACAUGAAUACAUUCUCAAUGGAAAAAAUCGGCGGCAUUACUAUAAACUGUGUUUUGAUAUUAUCCCUAAGCGCCACUCUUAACAACCUGGUAAGAAUCCUUCCAGACUUUUUCCUGUACAUUCGCAUAUGCACGUACUGCUGCUUUGCUGGGUCUCUAGAAAACAGUAGUUGAGGUAGUGACCCUGAGACUGAAGGAAGGUGGUGGGGCCUGGAGACAGUCUCACUUUCUGUUUUCUAGAAAUCGGUUACCUAUAAAUAUUCUGAAAGCUUCCGGCGGUUGACUUGGCCAAGGUCCCAGCGAUCUGGAUGCAUAAUGACGUUUCUUUGGCUCUACACAGAGACAGAACCAGAGAAGGAUGGGUUUAUCUUGUCCAUACAGCAGCCACUCCACACAUACGGUUCUGAGCCCUUGCAUGUGGCUGGUCCUGUGCUCUCAGUGGAACAUACACACUGGAUUUUAAAGCCUCAUGCAUUAAAAAAGAAGGCCAGGAGAGAGUGGGAUGGCCUAUCGUACCUUCUGAGACACAGCCUCGGAAGCCGUGGAGUGACUUCUGGUGUAGACAUGGUCCUCCCCAGUCUCAAGGGUCGGGAACCUGGAUCCCAUCUCUUGUAGGCACCACACCCAGCGUGGAGCCCUACCCAGGGCUUGAACUCACGACUGUGAGAUUGAGACCUGAGCUGAGAUCAAGAAUCAGAUGCUCAACCAACUGAGCCACCCAGGUGCCCCUGUGUAUAUAUAUAUAUAUAUAUACAUUUUAAUAACCAUCUCAGGUGUUUAAAAAAUUAUAUUAAGCCCCCAAACUGGAAACAACCCAAGUGCCUUCCAACAGGCAAAUGGAUAAACAUAUUCUUAUCUAUCCAUACUAUGGAUACUUCUCAGAAAUAAAAAGAUAUGUUCUAUUGACACACAUGGCAUGUAUGGAUCUUAAGACCAUUGUGCUGAGUGAAGGACACCAGCCACAGAAAAUGCUCACUCUGUGAUCCCAUUUAUCUGAAACGCUAGAAAAGAUCAAUCUAAUCUGUCAUGGUAGAAAGCAAAUCAGCUGUUGCCAGGAACUGGGUGGAGGCAGACUGACUACAAAGGGCAUGGAGAAAAUUUCAUGGGCGACGGAAAUAUUCUAUAUCUUACUGGGUGGUGUUUCCAUGGUUGUAUUCACUGGUCAAAAUUCACUGAACUGUACAUUUAAAAUGGGUGCAUUUUAUCAUACCUAAGUUGUACCUAAGUAAAGUUGAUUUUUUAAAAGAUUUUAUUUAUUUAUUUGACAGAGAG